AUGUUGUUGAAUUCACUGCAGAACUGUGCGAUGUUUGCUAUACGUGUUGUGAUUCUUGCUUUUGUUCUUCAUCUCAGAUCCGCAGUCACCUCCUUCAAAGUUACGCCUCGUUCAUGUUUCACCUCCUUCGAUCAGAGCAAACCAACAAAAAUGCAUAUAGUAUCUUCAGUUUUUGAGGCGACGAUAUUCGCCAAUAAAACCAAAGAAGGUGAGGUUGAAGAGUGA
Non-coding RNA from Vicia faba (fava bean), 225 nucleotides. The record is from the annotation of a GenBank genome assembly. NCBI's taxonomy places the organism in Eukaryota, Viridiplantae, Streptophyta, Magnoliopsida, Fabales, Fabaceae.